UCUCCAUAUUGGUCAUGCCAAGGCAAUGUUUGUGGAUUUUGGCCUGGCGAAAGAGCGAGGUGGAGGCUGUUAUUUGAGGUAUGAUGACACAAAUCCGGAAGCUGAGAAGAAGGAAUAUAUUGAUCAUAUAGAAGAAAUUGUCAAAUGGAUGGGGUGGGAGCCUUUCAAGAUUACUUAUGCUAGUGAUUACUUCCAAGAUCUGUAUGAAUUAGCUGUGGAGCUCAUACGUAGGGGUCAUGCUUAUGUUGAUCACCAGACUCCU
This 262-nucleotide unclassified non-coding RNA is filed under the name Hevea brasiliensis (rubber tree). The record is from RNAcentral. Lineage: Eukaryota; Viridiplantae; Streptophyta; Magnoliopsida; Malpighiales; Euphorbiaceae.